GUUGGUGUAACUCAGUGGUAAGAGUGCAUGCUUUGUACGUAUGAUGCCCUAGGUUCAAUCCCCAGCUUCUCCC
Non-coding RNA from Dallia pectoralis (Alaska blackfish), 73 nucleotides. Lineage: Eukaryota; Metazoa; Chordata; Actinopteri; Esociformes; Umbridae. The record is from the annotation of a GenBank genome assembly.